Molecule: long non-coding RNA, 223 nt
Filed under: Lathyrus oleraceus (garden pea)
Lineage: Eukaryota; Viridiplantae; Streptophyta; Magnoliopsida; Fabales; Fabaceae
Description: Pisum sativum (pea) long non-coding RNA (PSAT_LNC013016)
Source: RNAcentral
UUUUCUAAAAAAAAUAGUUUCCUUUGUUACAAAACCAUUACCAAACCUUCAACCUUCAUACCAUUCCCAAAUAAAUCAUUCUCAAAAUCACAUUUUAACAUCACCAAUGGAUCAAACAAACUUAAAUUGACACAACUACAGUUUUUCCUCAUGAUUCCAUCACCCAAAAUUAUACCCUAAAAAACCAAUUUUUCAUCAAAACUCAAGAACACACCAAUGUAAC